GAAAAAUUUGUCAUCCAGUGCACAGCUCCUGCCUUUCUUCUCUGCUCUCAAUGUGAGGUGUAGCGGACAGUUUUAUUCGGAAGGAGAAUACGGAGCGCACUCUAAAGGGGAAGACACAGCUCUGAUCUUGUACCUGUGGUUCCUGGUCGUGACCGCUGGGAUCCCUCUCGUAGCUCUCUGCAUACAGUCUGAUGGUGGCCCGCACACCACUGGAGGAACUGAGCCGGAAUAUGAGCCGUGAUGCAUCCGAGAAAAUGAUCCUCAGGCCCUGAGACCAAGAAUAUCCCAAAUGGCUCAAUUAACAGGACUUACACCUCCCAUGGAUGAGAAGAGAUUUCUCAAAGCUCCGCGUUUU
Molecule: long non-coding RNA, 355 nt
Organism: Mastomys coucha (southern multimammate mouse)
Lineage: Eukaryota; Metazoa; Chordata; Mammalia; Rodentia; Muridae
Exons: 3
Source: RefSeq, a predicted model, not a curated record